ACACUUAAGUGAGCUGCUGAAAAGAACUGCUCUCCAUGGAGAGAGUAACUCUGUCCUUAUUAUCGGACCCCGAGGAUCAGGAAAAACUAUGUUAAUAAAUCAUGCUUUGAAAGAACUCAUGGAAAUAGAAGAAGUGAGUGAAAAUGUAUUACAAGUUCACUUAAAUGGACUGCUGCAGAUCAAUGACAAAAUCGCCCUAAAGGAAAUCACAAGGCAGUUAAAUCUGGAAAAUGUAGUUGGAGAUAAAGUUUUUGGAAGCUUUGCUGAAAACCUUUCAUUUCUUCUGGAAGCUUUAAAAAAAGGUGACCGAACUAGCAGUUGCCCAGUGAUCUUCAUAUUAGAUGAAUUUGAUCUUUUUGCUCAUCAUAAAAACCAAACACUUCUCUAUAAUCUUUUUGACAUUUCUCAGUCUGCACAGACCCCAAUAGCAGUUAUUGGUCUUACAUGUAGAUUGUUCUGCAGGCUGAGAAAUUCAAGCGCAUGGCACUGGCUUUGUUGCAAGGGUUUUCAUGCUGCAUGACAUGGUGGAAGGUCAAAUGGGGAACCGAUAUGUGCAAAAACGAACCAGAUAGGAGUUGGAACCUCAAUUUAUAACAACUCACUGUCUCAAGAACUAAUUUAUCCCCAUGAGAACAAGAACUCACU
This 645-nucleotide small RNA is filed under the name Pan troglodytes (chimpanzee). RNAcentral's name for it is "processed transcript". Lineage: Eukaryota; Metazoa; Chordata; Mammalia; Primates; Hominidae. The record is from RNAcentral.